GUCCUUGCCGUAAACGAUGUGGAUUAGGUGUCAGGGGUGUCGAUCCCUCUGGUGCCGACGCUAACGCAUUAAAUCCACCACCUGGGGAGUACGGUCGCAAGACUGAAACUCAAAGAAAUUGACGGGGACCCGCACAAGCGGUGGAGCAUGUGGUUUAAUUCGAGGCUACGCGAAGAACCUUACCCAGGCUUGACAUGUAGUUGACUGUGAAUGAAAGUUCAUUUUCCCGCAAGGGACAAUUACACAGGUGCUGCAUGGCUGUCGU
RNAcentral lists this ribosomal RNA (265 nucleotides) under uncultured bacterium. RNAcentral's name for it is "partial 16S ribosomal RNA". It matches the Rfam family "Bacterial small subunit ribosomal RNA", at positions 793 to 1055 of the family's 1533-position model. The record is from RNAcentral.